AUUGAACGCUGGCGGCAGGCCUAACACAUGCAAGUCGAACGAGUGGCGGACGGGUGAGUAAUGUCUGGGAAACUGCCCGAUGGAGGGGGAUAACUACUGGAAACGGUAGCUAAUACCGCAUACCAUCGGAUGUGCCCAGAUGGGAUUAGCUAGUAGGUGGUGUAACGGAUCACCUAGGCGAAGAUACCUAGCUGGUCUGAGCGGAUGACCAGCCACACUGGAACUGAGACACGGUCCAGACUCCUACGGGAGGCAGCAGUGGGGAAUAUUGCACAAUGGGCGCAAGCCUGAUGCAGCCAUGCCGCGUGUAUGAAGAAGGCCUUCGGGUUGGAAAGUACUUUCAGCGAGGAGGCGUUACUCGCAGAAGAAGCACCGGCUAACUCCGUGCCAGCCGCCGCGGUAAUAC
Molecule: ribosomal RNA, 406 nt
Filed under: uncultured bacterium
Lineage: Bacteria
Description: partial 16S ribosomal RNA
Rfam family: Bacterial small subunit ribosomal RNA
Source: RNAcentral